Molecule: long non-coding RNA, 704 nt
Organism: Salvia splendens (bonfire salvia)
Lineage: Eukaryota; Viridiplantae; Streptophyta; Magnoliopsida; Lamiales; Lamiaceae
Exons: 3
Source: RefSeq, a predicted model, not a curated record
UGUAUUCAUGCACAUGUCGGGAGGAAUCUCACUAUAAAAAGAGGAGUUGUUUUUCUUCUGCAUCUCACCAAAACAUUAGUUUCACAACACCUCCGACAUACAAUCUUUCACCAAAUUGCUACACACUCAAAAUCUUCCAACCCACUUCAACCUUUUCUCCUUCAAGAAAACAAAGAGAAGGAACCGUGAAGAUAGUAUAAGGAUUAGUUUACCAAUUCAUCAAGUUUUGCCAUUUAUCCUCUCGCAAGGGGAGAGUCCCUACUCGGACUAGUGUACACGUGGACUGUGUGUCUUCGAAAGGGUUGGCCGGUCCGGUGACCGUGGAAAAUGACCACUUUCCUGUCACAAGAUGUUUCAGAUACGGCGAAGUACAAAAAGAACUUAGAUUGCACAAUCAAACUUUAAGUAUGAGAAUUUGGUUGAGCUGUGAUGGAGUGGAGAAUGCUGAUCCAAGUGGGGCUUACUUUGUGUUUAUACAUUAUUCUCGGAGGUUCUUGUCUUCAUACAUAGAACCGCGUUCAAUUGUUUCCGCUUUGCUAUUCAAUCAAGUUAUAUUCUGCAUCCCCUUGAGAAUAUUACGUUUAAUUAAUCGUAUUGUGUGAACUUUUAACUCGAAUCUUUAUGAUCGAGUGUAUCCUAUUCAAAUAUUAUCUCUCAGAUAGUUUGUAAUCAUAUGAAUUGUCCAGGAGGUACCUUUUCUCAAA